Molecule: long non-coding RNA, 907 nt
Organism: Aedes albopictus (Asian tiger mosquito)
Lineage: Eukaryota; Metazoa; Arthropoda; Insecta; Diptera; Culicidae
Exons: 3
Source: RefSeq, a predicted model, not a curated record
AAGUUACAAACUUUUAUAUAACAAAAAACUAAAUUAAAUUCCCUAUAAAAAAUUAUCAAAUAAAAGAUAUUCCCUUUUCCAAUUCAAACAACAUUUAAACGCGUCCUACGCCAAUAUUGUCAUAGCGAAAGCGUUCCUACUCUCUGAUACGUACUCUACUGUAGAAUCGAAGACAGUUUAAGUCGGCGGUUUUCGAUAUCGAAAUUGAACGGAUGUAUGGCAUGAUCACUAAAACAAUAGCCCGCGGAACGAACAUAGGAUGAAAGGUCCGUAAAGCGAGAUUGAACGCCCUCUUAGUAUUUGACCACCGAAGAGAAAGGUUGUGCCUAGAACAUUACCCAAGAUUGAACAAUUGUAUUAAUUAGUAGUGAAGCCAAGUCAAGGGAAGAAAGUGUAAGGGUGCUCAGGAGAAGUGCAAAAGUGCAUUCGAAAAACAAUUUGUUAUUGGACUAGUUAGCCAUCGCCAUGUGAGCCCGGCGUGGUUAGUUAAACUUGUGGAGCAAUCUAAUCAACUACAGCACCCGAAGAGGUUAAAUUAGUUCUGUGCCAACACCAGGUAAUCCUUCAAGCGAAGGUCUAACCCCCAGGACCAGUCUAAACCUGGAGUGUAGUGGCCGCUCGGUACGCCCUGUGAGAAACUAGCCCACGAGGUUGGUCGAUGAGGUCAUCAUCAUCGUUGCGUCAUAGAGCCGUUCUGACGUGACACUUAAACGAACAGACAAGUUAGUCCGACCCGCACUAAUUCACCACGGCGGGACAACUCACCACCGACGUCACCGAGCGAGAACCGUUACUCGGGUAAGGCUGACGCGUGGCCUACCUAAAGGGGCCCGUCCAGCUGGUGCAACUGCAACUGCAACCAGCAGGUGAGGAAACAGAAGCAUGCACAGGUAUGAGAAAGGGCAGC